RNAcentral lists this ribosomal RNA (860 nucleotides) under uncultured archaeon. RNAcentral describes it as "partial 16S ribosomal RNA". The record is from RNAcentral.
AAUUCCUUAAGUUUCAAUCUGCGAUCGUACUCCCCAGGCGGCAGACUUAACAGCUUCCUGCGGCACUAGAACGGCACGUGGCCGUCCAAACACCUAGUCUGCAUCGUUUACAGCUGGGACUACCCGGGUAUCUAAUCCGGUUCGCUCCCCCAGCUUUCAUCCCUCACCGUCGGGCGCGUUCUAGCAGACAGCCUUCGCCACUGGUGGUCUUCUCGGGAUUAUAGGAUUUCACCCCUACCCCGGGAAUACCGUCUGCCUCUCUCGUCCCCUAGCCGAGCAGUAUCCCCCGCACACCAACGAUUAAAUCGGUGGGUUUAACAGGGGACUUGUUCAGCCAGCUACGGAUGCUUUAGGCCCAAUAAACGUCCACACCACUCGGAGAGCUGGUAUUACCGCGGCGGCUGACACCAGACUUGCCCUCUCCUUAUUCCCCCAGCUUUCUAGACUGGGUAAAAGCCAACCUCAGCGGUCGGCACUCGGGAUGACCCUGUCACACUUUCGUGUAUUGCAAAGUUUUCGCGACUGCUGCGCCCCGUAGGACCUGGGCCCUUGUCUCAGUGCCCAUCUCCGGGCUCCCGCUCUCACGGCCCGCACCGGUUAUAGGCUUGGUGGGCCAUUACCUCACCAACAACCUGAUCGGUCGCGGCCCCAUCCUUAGGCGACGCUGAAAGCAUGAUCCAACGCCUUUUAGGCAAAGACUCAUUCCAGAGUUCUUCACCUAUCGAGGAUUAUCCCCAGUUUCCCGGGGUUGGUCUCGUCCUAAGGGCAGGUUAGCCACGUGUUACUGAGCUGUACGCUGCGCCUCCCCACAUGGCUGGAAAGCGCUCAACUAGCAUGUCUUAGUCCCAUCCCGAUAGCAA